UGGGGAAUUUUGGACAAUGGGCGAAAGCCUGAUCCAGCAAUGCCGCGUGUGUGAAGAAGGCCUUCGGGUUGUAAAGCACUUUUGUCCGGAAAGAAAUCCUUGGCUCUAAUACAGUCGGGGGAUGACGGUACCGGAAGAAUAAGCACCGGCUAACUACGUGCCAGCAGCCGCGGUAAUACGUAGGGUGCAAGCGUUAAUCGGAAUUACUGGGCGUAAAGCGUGCGCAGGCGGUUUGCUAAGACCGAUGUGAAAUCCCCGGGCUCAACCUGGGAACUGCAUUGGUGACUGGCAGGCUAGAGUAUGGCAGAGGGGGGUAGAAUUCCACGUGUAGCAGUGAAAUGCGUAGAGAUGUGGAGGAAUACCGAUGGCGAAGGCAGCCCACGUCAGGUCCAAUACUGACGCUCAUGCACGAAAGCGUGGGGGAGCAAACAGGAUUAGAUACCCUGGUAGUCCACGCCCUAAACGAUGUCAACUAGUUGUUGGGGAUUCAUUUCCUUAGUAACGUAGCUAACGCGUGAAGUUGACCGCCU
Molecule: ribosomal RNA, 530 nt
Filed under: uncultured bacterium
Lineage: Bacteria
Description: partial 16S ribosomal RNA
Rfam family: Bacterial small subunit ribosomal RNA
Source: RNAcentral